This 27-nucleotide non-coding RNA is filed under the name Rattus norvegicus (Norway rat). The record is from RNAcentral. Lineage: Eukaryota; Metazoa; Chordata; Mammalia; Rodentia; Muridae.
UGAAAAGUUCUGUUCGGUAACAUGGGU